ACCAGUUUUAAUUUAGUUUUAAUAUAAAUAAAUACAUUUAUAUAAAUUUGUGACUGUCCAUUAUUUCAAAUUGAAUUUCUGCUAUUAUUACGGCUCAACUGCAGUACAUUCGAUAACCACCAGGGGGCCUGGUAAAACACUUUGUUUUAAAAUAUUGAAACAAUGUAUAUACUGUACAGUGUGUGUGCCACAGCACAGGAGCACCAUGGAUGACUGUACUCUCACCUUUUCUCUUCACCCUGUACACUCCUGACUUCCAGUAUAACUCACAGGGGUUAGAGAUUCUUGGAUAAGUCUGCAGCUGUGGGAUUUGCCAGAUGUGGGAACGAGACAGUACAGGGAACUUGUGGAUCACUAUUUGGAGUGAUCUCAACCAGGGAGAAAUGUUCCAUCUGGCAGUCCUCCAAGGCAUCAAUCCAACUUUUACUUUCGUCGUGUAGACUGACUGGACACAAAAAUCGAGAGGAGGUUUUAAAAAUAAAGCGAGGAUGAGGGUGCAUCUGAAGACUGACCAAGGAUUGCAGGGCCCUUACUGGUUCCAGGAACUGUUUUCAGCUGUUGGAUAACCUGCAUAUCAGCAGCUCUGAGUUUUCAGUUCCAGAAA
Molecule: long non-coding RNA, 604 nt
Organism: Oreochromis niloticus (Nile tilapia)
Lineage: Eukaryota; Metazoa; Chordata; Actinopteri; Cichliformes; Cichlidae
Exons: 3
Source: RefSeq, a predicted model, not a curated record